GGAGGUCCUUGCAGUGUUCAACAAUGGCUCCAAAACCAUCAUCUAAUGGCUGAAGGGUUAUGUAAUCAGGGGCUCGCGGUUCAAUAAUACAAAGACGAAAGCGAGUCAUGUUUGGACGGUUCCUGGCAAUUGUUGCCAAGGCAUCAUUAGUCAUUUGACGGCAAAAGUACAAAACUGAGUGAAGCUUAGGGCAGCCCUCAGAAACAGAGACAAGGCCCUGUUCUGUCAAGGAUACAUUUGGUUCCUGGGCAAACGGCUCAGAUGGGAAAACCCUCAGUUCUCGCAGGUCCUUGCAAAAUGCUGCAAGAGCU
RNAcentral lists this unclassified non-coding RNA (311 nucleotides) under Hevea brasiliensis (rubber tree). The record is from RNAcentral. Lineage: Eukaryota; Viridiplantae; Streptophyta; Magnoliopsida; Malpighiales; Euphorbiaceae.